AUUGAACGCUGGCGGCAGGCCUAACACAUGCAAGUCGAACGAGCGGCGGACGGGUGAGUAAUGUAUGGGGAACUGCCCGAUGGAUGGGGAUAACUACUGGAAACGGUGUCUAAUACCGCAUCAUAUCCGAUGCACCAAUAUGGGAUUAGCUCGUAGGUGGGGGAAAGGCUCACCUAGGCGACGAUCCCUAACUGGUCUGAGAGGAUGAGCAGCCACACUGGAACUGAGACACGGGCCAGACUCCUACGGGAGGCAGCAGUGGGGAAUAUUGCACAAUGGGCGCAAGCCUGAUGCAGCCAUGCCGCGUGUAUGAAGAAGGCCUUAGGGUUGUAAAGUACUUUCAGCGGGGAGGCGUUACCCGCAGAAGAAGCACCGGCUAACUCCGUGCCAGCAGCCGCGGUAAUAC
Molecule: ribosomal RNA, 406 nt
Filed under: uncultured bacterium
Lineage: Bacteria
Description: partial 16S ribosomal RNA
Rfam family: Bacterial small subunit ribosomal RNA
Source: RNAcentral